This 74-nucleotide transfer RNA is filed under the name Spirochaetota bacterium. RNAcentral describes it as "Spirochaetes bacterium (wastewater metagenome) tRNA-Arg". It matches the Rfam family "tRNA". Rfam says of the family: Transfer RNA (tRNA) molecules are approximately 80 nucleotides in length. The record is from RNAcentral. Lineage: Bacteria; Pseudomonadati; Spirochaetota. RNAcentral also lists the same sequence under 1 other name.
GCGCCCUUAGCUCAGCUGGAUAGAGCGUCGGACUUCGAAUCCGCAGGCCGCAGGUUCGAUUCCUGCAGGGCGCA